Gadus macrocephalus (Pacific cod) is the source of this 332-nucleotide long non-coding RNA. RefSeq lists it as uncharacterized. Lineage: Eukaryota; Metazoa; Chordata; Actinopteri; Gadiformes; Gadidae. The record is from RefSeq and is a predicted model, not a curated record. The transcript is spliced from 2 exons.
AAUUCGACAGAUCAUAAAUCCAUGAAAGGUCAUUGUAGUGUAGGGUUAUCGUGUUUUGAAGGGUCUCUACCUGCCCUUGAAGAAGAGCAUCUCGCCCCUCAGGGUGCUCACAGCGUCGAGGACCAUGGUUGCGUCGCAGGAGUUGGGGGUUGUGGGUGGUGUGGUUUCAAUUGGGGUCACGUUAGGACCUGGAUGGACAUGGGACUGGAUUCCGUUGACAUCGUCGCGGGGCAGCUGAAACGUGUCGGGGUUCUUGUAGAUGUAAUUUGGGUACAUGAGCGCACCGGGGUCCCUGGAGUGGCCCAAGCCCAGGGAAUGUCCAAACUCAUGGG